CGCUAGAGGGCGAGGCGGCCGUACGCGGCGCGGCGGGGGCCGCUGACGGGAGCUCCGUGUCCGCCGCCCCGAGAGCAGCCGCGUUCGACCCGAAGUUCAGCCCGCAACAUCGGCGCUGUCGGAAGGGCCGCUCGGCGAACGCCGGGAGCGUUAGCACCGACGGAGCGGGAUGCAGAGCUGCGAGCGGAUUGCGGGCACCGCGCCGGGAAGAGCCGCCCCACAUUCGGGUACCGACCCUAAACCUGGGCGGCUCUGCCCUCCCGCGGGGCUCCCCUACUGCCCCGUGCGACCCCGGCGGUGUGACGUCACGGAACGGGGCGUGACGUCACCGGCAUCCAGCGAGGGAAGGGACGUGACGUCAGCAUGGCAGCCCCUCGGAGUACGGCUGUCUGUCUUUUUGCUAUGGGGAUUUGGCUCCUGUCAGACGCCGCAAAUAAGUGUUUGUUGGUUUUAAACCAGUUCUGUUGUGUUUGGACCUCUGCGUGUGGAAGUAUUGUUGUUGGCUAUCACUUGCAGUGAAAGCUGGCUUUUUUGUUAUUUAUUUCAGGUGCAGGCGUCAGGCCAGAUUCAUCCCUUGUUAUCCCCUAGGGCUAUAAAUAAAACAGUGAAAACAAGAA
Molecule: long non-coding RNA, 617 nt
Organism: Coturnix japonica (Japanese quail)
Lineage: Eukaryota; Metazoa; Chordata; Aves; Galliformes; Phasianidae
Source: RefSeq, a predicted model, not a curated record